Molecule: long non-coding RNA, 174 nt
Organism: Dalotia coriaria
Lineage: Eukaryota; Metazoa; Arthropoda; Insecta; Coleoptera; Staphylinidae
Exons: 3
Source: RefSeq, a predicted model, not a curated record
UUUUUGUUUGUUUUAGGUGUCUAGCAGGCGAACAAAUUGUCCUAGGACAACGAUUCUUUCAUCAGAUUGUGUCUAGCAGGUGGACAAAUUGUCCUAAGACAACGAUUCUUUCAUCAGAUUGUGUCUAGCAGGUGGACAAAUUGUCCUAGGACAACAAUUCGUUCAUCAGAUUGU